This 209-nucleotide unclassified non-coding RNA is filed under the name soil metagenome. RNAcentral's name for it is "partial contains 5.8S ribosomal RNA, internal transcribed spacer 2, and large subunit ribosomal RNA". The record is from RNAcentral.
AACAUCGCGCACCUGCGGGAACCUGCGGAAGGAUCAUUAACGAGUUGCAAAACUCCCAACCAUUGUGAACCUACGACGUUUCUUCGGCGGGUGGCCGCCAGGCCGCGCUGACCCCUCGGGGGAGGCACCCCGCCGGAGGGCAUCCAACUCUCCCAUUCGUUAUCUUCUGAGAAAAAAACUAAAUAAUCACAACUUUUAACAACGGAUCU